This 2044-nucleotide long non-coding RNA is filed under the name Trifolium pratense (red clover). Its description in RNAcentral is "long non-coding RNA (TPRA_LNC000989)". The record is from RNAcentral. Lineage: Eukaryota; Viridiplantae; Streptophyta; Magnoliopsida; Fabales; Fabaceae.
AAAGCAGAGAAACUUCUACGUGAAGUGAUUGCUAGAGGUCUACUUUAAGAGCAAAACCAGGUAUGACACUUGUUACCCAUUAUUUUGAAUUUUUAUGACAAUCAUAGAGAUGGACUUUGAUCUAGGAUCCUUAGUUUAGUUUAGUUUUGACCAAAGUAAUUUAUUGUUUUGUUCAAUUUGAUAGUGUAUCCAUUAAAGCGGUUAUUUUUGAAGUCUUGAAAUGACUAUCCNNNNNNNNNNNNNNNNNNNNNNNNNNNNNNNNNNNNNNNNNNNNNNNNNNNNNNNNNNNNNNNNNNNNNNNNNNNNNNNNNNNNNNNNNNNNNNNNUCUUUUGACCUUUACCAGAUUUUUGCUUAUUGGUAUAAUAUAUAAAAUGAUUAUUGAUAGGUACAUUUUAUUUUACACUUGACUUAUAGACAGAUUGGUAAUGGAUUUAUAGGUUGCAAACCGAGACCUGCAUGUGAUGUACCAUGAAAGUGAACAGAUAUCUUGACUUGAUGCAAGAAAGAGGCAUGGUGUACGGCCCUCUGUCUGUCGUAUUGUUAUAAAAGAGAGAAACUUGAAUGUUGAAAGAGGCAUGGUUUAAGGCCCUCUAUGGCUCUAUCUUUUAAUGAAUGCAUNNNUAUGAAUUGUGAAUUAAACUAUAAUUUUAGUUUUGCAUAAAAUACAUUGCGAGUGUUUGUAGUCUGUAUCUGGUUUUGUUUAUUGUAUCAGAAUAGUUAGUGGAUUUGAGUUGUGUAAGCGGCUGCAAUAUUGUUCAUACUUGGUUGCUUGUUUUGAGUGUUUUAGGUGCUAGACUAUGGCUGACUUUGUUUCCCCUGCUUUUAGCUAUUUGUCAUAUUGUAUCAACCUUUUCACUGUGUUGAGUAUUAUUUGUGCUUAACAUCUUAAUAAAUUCUUCUGCUUAUAGAAACAUGAGUUCCUCCCAAGUCAUUCAGUUUAUAUAACACCUUAUGUCUUGUUAUUUUUAAUUGAAAUUAUAAAAGGAGGUUGAGAUAAAGGGUCAGACUUGCACGUUACUUUAGCAUCAAAUUGUUUUAACUAAUUAAGACCGCAACUAAUUAAGUAAGAAUCUAAGUGAAAAGCUGUUGCACCUGAAUCUGUCCCGCAAGGGAAGCCAAGGAAGUGCCUUCCACUUCAUGUUUGUGUAUACAUAUAUGUUGCAUCUUUCCUUUUUGUGUCAUCUUUGAAUUUGUAACUUUCUACACUAGUCAGUGUUAAUUUAGUAGUGACAUUGCCACUGUUUGCAGCUUAACUUGUGAUUGUGACAGGAUUGAACAACUUUUUCACCAAAACCAAGCUGAUUUCAAGCUCAGAACUCUACAUCUAUAGCCCAACCUAGCAGAUUUUUUCAGCAUGAUCUUCAUUUUUGCAGGUUACGUUUAGGUAAGGUGGAUACUUUCUUCUUCGGUCCCCACAUUUGGCGCUUUGACACCUUCCAUUUCUUUCUCACUAUUAGCCAAAAAACACUUACAAUCUUUUCUUCCAGUAUCAAAUAUCUAAUCUGUCUAGUAGUUUGCACAGCUCUAAAUUAGAGAAGGUGGAUGGAUUAGACUUUUUUGAAAUCUUUCGAUGAUGCCGAUAUUUUCUCAACUACUCAUCCAUGAUGACAUGAACGCCUUAAGUUUUCUUCAUGUUUAUAGCUUUGAAAUCUCUCCACAAAUUCAUAACUUUCAUAUCUUGUUCUCUGAGUUAUAUAUGAACAUUUUGAUGAUUUCGGUUAUUUUCAUAUUAAUAGCUUCCACAAAUUCAGAACCUGCAUCCUCUUUCUUCUUUCACUACUUUGCAAAGACCAUAUUGUUUUCUUUGUAUUCAUUCAGCUGAAGGAAAUUCCCAGAUUGGAAAAACUAGAGAGUAGAUUAUUAAGCAUGUAUUUGGAUAUAUGUUGGAAGAGACAUUCUUAUAUCCCUAUUCAACAAAUGAAAUAGGAAAAAAUGCUCCAAGGUAUAAGAUAUUGUUAGCAUAAUUUGCAACACAUUUUUCAUGUUUAAAUGUAAACAAUCGAUUCUGAUAGUGAUAUGUGAAAAUCUCUUUCUGGUUCAAGG